GAUGAACGCUGGCGGCGUGCCUAAUACAUGCAAGUCGAACGCUGAAGGAGGAGCUUGCUCUUCUGGAUGAGUUGCGAACGGGUGAGUAACGCGUAGGUAACCUGCCUGGUAGCGGGGGAUAACUAUGGAAACGAUAGCUAAUACCGCAUGACAACAGUUAUUGCAUGAUAACUGUUUAAAAGGGGCAACUGCUCCACUACCAGAUGGACCUGCGUUGUAUUAGCUAGUUGGUGAGGUAACGGCUCACCAAGGCGACGAUACAUAGCCGACCUGAGAGGGUGAUCGGCCACACUGGGACUGAGACACGGCCCAGACUCCUACGGGAGGCAGCAGUAGGGAAUCUUCGGCAAUGGACGGAAGUCUGACCGAGCAACGCCGCGUGAGUGAAGAAGGGUUUCGGAUCGUAAAGCUCUGUUGUAAGAGAAGAACGAGUGUGAGAGUGGAAAGUUCACACUGUGACGGUAUCUUACCAGAAAGGGACGGCUAACUACGUG
This 494-nucleotide ribosomal RNA is filed under the name uncultured bacterium. RNAcentral describes it as "partial 16S ribosomal RNA". It matches the Rfam family "Bacterial small subunit ribosomal RNA", at positions 28 to 507 of the family's 1533-position model. The record is from RNAcentral.